RNAcentral lists this ribosomal RNA (349 nucleotides) under Clostridioides difficile. RNAcentral's name for it is "partial 23S ribosomal RNA". It matches the Rfam family "Bacterial large subunit ribosomal RNA", at positions 387 to 738 of the family's 2925-position model. The record is from RNAcentral. Lineage: Bacteria; Bacillati; Bacillota; Clostridia; Peptostreptococcales; Peptostreptococcaceae.
GAGAAGACUUCAGAUAUGAUCCAGAGUACCACGGGACACGUGAAACCCUGUGGGAAGCAGGAGGGACCACCCUCCAAGGCUAAAUACUACCUAGUGACCGAUAGCGUAUAGUACCGUGAGGGAAAGGCGAAAAGAACCCCGGGAGGGGAGUGAAAUAGAACCUGAAACCCUGUACUUACAAGCUGUGGAAUCACAUUUCUUGUGUGACUGCGUACUUUUAGUAGAACGGGCCAACGCGUUCCGUUAAGUAGCAAGGAUAAGCACCUAAGGUGUGUCGCCGUAGCGAAAGCGAGUGUUAACGGAGCGUUCAGUUACUUACGUAGACCCGAAACCGGGCGACCUACCCAUG